Molecule: long non-coding RNA, 682 nt
Organism: Chenopodium quinoa (quinoa)
Lineage: Eukaryota; Viridiplantae; Streptophyta; Magnoliopsida; Caryophyllales; Amaranthaceae
Exons: 3
Source: RefSeq, a predicted model, not a curated record
ACCACCCUUUAUGUGAGAACAUAUUAUUUAUGUGAGGACAAAUCUCAGCCAUUGGAUUGUAAUAAAUCCAAUAGCUGAGAUUAAUGAUAUAAACAUUCUUUAACAAACCUUCUCUAACAACCAUGCUUAACUGUUUCUAAGCUUCUGCUCUGCUCUCUCUCUCCAUCACGAAACUCCAAUCUCUGCUCUGCUCUCUCUCCACCACGAAGCUUCAAGAAUUUAUCAAUGGUGUCUUUUCAAACUCGACAAUUUCUCUCUCCUCUUCUUGUUCACGGGUAUCAAUUUCCAUAAAUUAUUGAGGUUUAUACUUGAAUCAUAUACUUGUGAUCAACAUGGCAGGAAGAGUUGCUGCAAGAUAUGUAUCUAAGAGGUUUUCAAGUGGUGGCAAGAUUCUAGGUGAGGAGGAAAAGGCUGCAGAGAAUGUCUACGUCAAGAAAAUGGAAAAGGAAAAGCUGGAAAAGGUUGCUCGUCAAGUUUGCAGAUUGCGCCCUUUAUCUGUUUAAAUUCAUUUCUAAUGUGGGUAUUAUGAAUGCCCAGUCUAAGUAAUUGGGAUUGAGACAGCAGGGUUGGUGACAGUGUCUCUUUUUUAUGUGAUAACCUGCUUUUACUUCUGGUCCCUCCUCUCUCUGUAUGAUUCCCCCAUUAUAAUUCUUAAAUGGAACUAAAAUAAACUGUGGUUAUG